Molecule: ribosomal RNA, 61 nt
Filed under: Penicillium sp.
Lineage: Eukaryota; Fungi; Ascomycota; Eurotiomycetes; Eurotiales; Aspergillaceae
Also listed under: 2 other names
Description: partial 28S ribosomal RNA
Rfam family: Eukaryotic large subunit ribosomal RNA
Source: RNAcentral
UGACCUCGGAUCAGGUAGGGAUACCCGCUGAACUUAAGCAUAUCAAUAAGCGGAGGAAAAG